CUCAAAGAAAACACUGGUCAGGACCGGGAGUCUGAGAGCAGGGUCCCACUCUGUCACCCAGGCUGGACUGCAGUGGUACAAUCUUGGGUCACUGCUGCCUUGACCUCUCAUGCUCAAGUGACCCUUCCACCUCAACCUACCGAGCCUACUACAGAGACAGGGUCUCAUUCUGUCACCCAGGCUGGACUGCAGUGGUACAAUCAUAGCUCACUGCAGCCUCAAACUCCCAGGCUAAAGCAAUCCUCCCACCUCAGCCUCCUGAGUAGCUGAGACUACAGACUCCUUCUCCAAGAGCGGUGUUCUGCUUCCAGGAGGCUGCAUUCCAUCAGGGUAGAAUCAACCUGGGGAAGCCCUGGCUGCUCUCUGGAAGUGGCUGGCCUGAGUGAGAAACCUCACCAAGGGUACCUCUCCUUGUCUCUUAUCAGCACU
Molecule: long non-coding RNA, 429 nt
Filed under: Callithrix jacchus (white-tufted-ear marmoset)
Lineage: Eukaryota; Metazoa; Chordata; Mammalia; Primates; Cebidae
Description: lncRNA (ENSCJAG00000070226.1)
Source: RNAcentral